GCGGCCUAUCAGCUUGUUGGUGAGGUAAAGGCUCACCAAGGCGACGACGGGUAGCCGGCCUGAGAGGGCGACCGGCCACACUGGGACUGAGACACGGCCCAGACUCCUACGGGAGGCAGCAGUGGGGAAUAUUGGGCAAUGGACGCAAGUCUGACCCAGCGACGCCGCGUGCGGGAUGAAGGCCUUCGGGUUGUAAACCGCUUUCAGCAGGGAAGAAGCGAAAGUGACGGUACCUGCAAAAGAAGCACCGGCUAACUAUGUGCCAGCAGCCGCGGUAAUACAUAGGGUGCAAGCGUUGUCCGGAAUUAUUGGGCGUAAAGAGCUCGUAGGUCGUUUGUCGCGUCGAUUGUGAAAAUCUGAGGCUCAACCUCAGACCUGCAGUCGAUACGGGCAAACUAGAGUGUGGUAGGGGAGACUGGAAUUCCU
This 426-nucleotide ribosomal RNA is filed under the name uncultured Actinomycetes bacterium. Its description in RNAcentral is "bacterial SSU rRNA". It matches the Rfam family "Bacterial small subunit ribosomal RNA", at positions 233 to 671 of the family's 1533-position model. Lineage: Bacteria; Bacillati; Actinomycetota; Actinomycetes. The record is from RNAcentral.